Molecule: ribosomal RNA, 467 nt
Filed under: uncultured bacterium
Lineage: Bacteria
Description: partial 16S ribosomal RNA
Rfam family: Bacterial small subunit ribosomal RNA
Source: RNAcentral
GAUGAACGCUGGCGGCGUGCUUAACACAUGCAAGUCGAACGGAAAGGCCCAAGCUUGCUUGGGUACUCGGGUGGCGAACGGGUGAGUAACACGUGGGUGAUCUGCCCUGCACUUCGGGAUAAGCCUGGGAAACUGGGUCUAAUACUGGAUAGGACCACUUCUUGGAUGUUGUGGUGGAAAGUUUUUUCGGUGUGGGAUGAGCUCGCGGCCUAUCAGCUUGUUGGUGGGGUAAUGGCCUACCAAGGCGUCGACGGGUAGCCGGCCUGAGAGGGUGUACGGCCACAUUGGGACUGAGAUACGGCCCAGACUCCUACGGGAGGCAGCAGUGGGGAAUAUUGCACAAUGGGCGCAAGCCUGAUGCAGCGACGCCGCGUGGGGGAUGACGGCCUUCGGGUUGUAAACUCCUUUCGCUAGGGACGAAGCGUUUUGUGACGGUACCUGGAGAAGAAGCACCGGCUAACUACGUG